AUGAAGCGUUUUGGCAAAAUCGACGGCCUCCUUGGGGAGGAUCGUCGGGCUAAUAUUGACUGUUUGUUGGAACUGUCAUGGGCUAGGCGAACCUGCACAGUUCAUGGAUUGUGCAAUAUUGCGCGGGAGUGUGCCGACUUUGCGUGGUGGAAACCCAGUUACCAAAGUAUCAUGUGGAGCAGUGGCAGGGCUACACAUGACAUGUUGGAUGGGCGAAAGGCAAUACAUCAAUCUCUGAGGGUGCGCGCCAUCGGUCGGCCGCUGACGAUAAGUGUUUCUGUGAGAGCAACUCUAGCAGACCCCGCAUCCCACCGGCCCGCAAAACGCGUUUGCAAUUCGCGCAAAACCACUUUUGCGGGCCGACGCGGUCUGGCACAGAUGCAGACCCCCCAAACGGAUCCGUAA
This 405-nucleotide ribosomal RNA is filed under the name Triticum aestivum (bread wheat). RNAcentral's name for it is "partial small subunit ribosomal RNA". Lineage: Eukaryota; Viridiplantae; Streptophyta; Magnoliopsida; Poales; Poaceae. The record is from RNAcentral.